Molecule: long non-coding RNA, 1008 nt
Organism: Thunnus maccoyii (southern bluefin tuna)
Lineage: Eukaryota; Metazoa; Chordata; Actinopteri; Scombriformes; Scombridae
Exons: 4
Source: RefSeq, a predicted model, not a curated record
GUUUACCCACUUCCUCCCUGAUCCCACAUGGUGGUUGUCAAGGCUGGACGCAGGCGCGUGCAGAUUCUGUAGAGAAAAACAGACUUUGAGAAUGCCUCGGCAGUGGAAAAGAAAGACUGACAGAUGUGUGCCUGCCAAUGUUUUUAAAAAGGCAUCUGAUGGAGUCACAAAGAAGGGCAAGUCAGUCAGAUCUGUUGCGAAGGCAGAUGGGAUCUGCCAUGUUACACUGAGCAGAUACUGCGAGACACCGCAGAAGCUGAGAGACCAGGGGUCCAUUGACCCUCUCAGUGAAGGUUACUAAAGCAGCAACAAAGUUUUCUCUGAGGUGCAGGAGGAAGUGUUGGCUGACUAUUUGUUUCAGGCGGCAGACCUGUAUUAUAGACGGACUCCAAGUCAGAAAGUUUGCAUAUCAACUGGUAGUACUAUAUAACGUCAAACACCACAAACAUGGGAUGAGAGGCUGAUGGCAGGGUCUGACUGGUUCACAUUCUUUAUGAAGCGAAACCCAGCCUUACCACAAAGGUUUAACCACAAAAAUGUGAAACGCUUCUUCAAGAGCCUUGGGCAGAUCAUUGAGAAAGACAACUUUGACGGCACUGACAUAUGGAAUGUAGACAAAACUGGUGUAACAGUCCAGUCACCAGACCGUGUUGAUGCAUGUCACAGAUUCAAGCAGUCCAGUCCAAACAAAGAGGGAGAAAAGUCUGAAGGCCUCUGAAGGACCGGUGGAAAAUGGCAGCUAGGGACACAGAGUCAGACCGCAAACAGAAACAUAAUCUGACAGUAACAUUCCCAGCUGUCAGGAUGUGUUCCCCCUGCUAUGAUGGAUAAAUCUGGGGACAUCAGGGUGAAAAUCACAGGACUUACCUUUUGUGGGGAAACAAGUCAGCAGUAUGAAUUUGACAGAUGUGUGAGCUUCCUUUCAUAUUGAACACAGGGGGAACAGUACCUGACAGUAACAUUCUCAGCUCCUCAGGAUGUGUUUUCCCUGCUAUGAUGGAGGUGGUU